RNAcentral lists this ribosomal RNA (900 nucleotides) under Triticum aestivum (bread wheat). RNAcentral describes it as "partial small subunit ribosomal RNA". Lineage: Eukaryota; Viridiplantae; Streptophyta; Magnoliopsida; Poales; Poaceae. The record is from RNAcentral.
AUGCGCCUCGCCUCCUGCUUCCUGCGCCUCCGAACAGCCCUGUUCCCCGUGCGGGUUCAGAAGACGCGCUCAUCUUCCCGUUGUCGCGCGGGUGGUCGAUCAUCGUCGAUGCUCGCGACGCAUCCUGCCGCCUCUCUUGCCCUGCGACGGGCGCAACGGUUGCUCUGCCCAAGAUCAACGCCGUCCGCGGCAGGAGCGCCGCACCCGGCGACAUCACGCAUGUCAAGCAAGUACGUGCAUCAUACCGACGAAGAAAGCGCGUCCUGGUUUCCGGGGGACAAGAUCAAGAUCGAACGCCCCGCCUGCGGCUACAUGAUUUUCUUCGGAAAUUACCUUGACUUCACGGAUUACUUCCGCUUCGCCGUCCACUCCCCGGCGGCAAGCGCGGCGGACGACAUGAUGAUCAUGAUGUGCCACAUGUGGCUGCUGGGCAGAAAGACCAUCGUGCUCUGCCGGCCUGGUGACGCCGCCUGGACGAAGCUGGGAGAUUGCCCGUCUUUCAGCUUAUGUUUCGUCGACGUCGCCUACUUCCGAGGAAGGAUCUACGGCCUAGAAAGCGACGGCUCCACGGCGGUGUUCGACGGCGCCACGCUCGAGUUCCUCCACUCGGUCCAUGUGCCAUGCGCGACGUUGAAGCCUUGCACCGUGGUAGAGGAGGACUCUCCACAUGACUUCGAUCGCAUCAAUCUCGUUGCCUUGCCAGGCAAGCUGCUUUUGAUCAGUACUAGGGUCAAGUCGCUCGAGGCAGAGGGUUUCGCCAUCUUCGAGUUAACCUCUAGCUCUAGGCCCGAGGAUGGUGGUCUCUCUUGUUGGCGCAAGGUAGUUCGGGGCGGCAUCGGUGGUAACUACGAUAUCUUCAUGGACUGCUACCACACCGCAUUUACCCAUGUAAGACAAUAA